Molecule: ribosomal RNA, 419 nt
Filed under: bacterium
Lineage: Bacteria
Description: partial 16S ribosomal RNA
Rfam family: Bacterial small subunit ribosomal RNA
Source: RNAcentral
UGGGGGAUAUUGCACAAUGGGCGAAAGCCUGAUGCAGCGACGCCGCGUGGGGGAUGAAGGCCUUCGGGUUGUAAACUUCUUCUGCUCUGAACAAGGCAUGCUAAUGGGUGUGUUGAGUGUAGGGGUUGAUUAGCGCCGGCUAACUACGUGCCAGCAGCCGCGGUAAUACGUAGGGCGCGAGCGUUGUCCGGAAUUAUUGGGCGUAAAGGGCUUGUAGGUGGCUGGUUGCGUCUGUCGUGAAAGCUCAUGGCUUAACUGUGGGUUUGCGGUGGGUACGGGCUGGCUUGAGUGCAGUAGGGGAGGCUGGAAUUCCUGGUGUAGCGGUGGAAUGCGCAGAUAUCAGGAGGAAUACCGGUGGCGAAGGCGGGUCUCUGGGCUGUUACUGACACUGAGGAGCGAAAGCAUGGGGAGCGAACAGG